GUGCAUGGAUGUCCAGUGAAUGUGAAAAAUACUCCCAAUAGAAAUCAUUCCAAUUAUUGAUGAUGAGCGGACUUGUAAUUCGGUUGGCAUUUUACCACCUGAUUUAAACAUGUCUUUACACCGUUUAUUUAUCGAGGAAUCCUGAAAUAAAACGUGCAAAAUGUCGCUCAGUGCAAACUAUAUGCAUACCAUCCGUGUGGGGCACAAUACAAAAUGUCAGAGUCAAACAGAAAAGUUUGGAACUCCUUCCCCGUUUUUUUUUUUUUUUUUAGUGGUUUAAAAUACAGUGGUGGCCAAAGUCUGCAUCAAAAGCGAUACACAUGUGAUGUCACAGACCCUCUUCCUUCUGUGCUUUUAUAUUGGAGAGUCCACUUCCGGGGACCUUCUAUCUCUCUUCCCUUUCAUUAUCAGUCUGGGCCGGAGGGUGCUCCCACAGCUGCGGCUGAUAAGCGCUUACCUUCUGCGUUUCAGAGCUCUGCUGAUCUGCAAGCGGCUGCCGGAUAAUUCUUGCAUUGAGUGUGCCUACCUCUCUGCUCAGCCUGGUUUCGCGUUUUCCUACAUGGACCACUUGACCCUGCACCUAUAACCCAGCCACUUGCAGAAUCACUGAUUUAUGAAAUAUUCACCUACGUCCACCUAGAGUGGCGCAGUUACUUCAAGUUGCAGAGCACAGGGAGGGAGGGGAAGACGAAGAAAGAGGGAGAGAGUAAUGACCGUGGAAGGUAAAGUGAUAUGUAUCUGAUUAAACGAAGCGGGUAACAAAGAAACAUUCAGGAGACGCCUGGAGUUGGAAAGACUCAAAUCUACGAGACUUUGAAAAAAAGGAAGCUAUUCUUACUCGGUCCGAUUCUGUCAAUUUCCAUGCUCAGAGUGAAUUGCUUGUGGCUCGAGUAACUGAACAUUUCCUAGAAUGGUUUGAUUGUUAUCAUGUUAAAAACUUGCCGCAAACUGGACUGCUAAUAAGAGAGGAGGCGAGUUCCAUAACGCUAACUAAGCAUCGAAGACUUUGAAGCGUCCCGAGGCUGGCUUCAAAAGUUCAUUGCGCGACAUCAGCUGAGCAAUGUGUGAUGAUCGAGGCGAGGUAAAGUUAGAGACGGUGAGUGAGAGGGAAAAAAGCCACCAGGUCUCUUACUCGUCUCAUUUUGUAGCAAAUAGUCCUAACUUUAAUAUUUUGUACAUUUUUUAUAUACCUGUAUUGUCUGCUACAGUUUUUGGGCAAUAUAUUGUUGCACUUGUUGCUUGUGUUGUCACACGUGUAUGUUGUUAACAUACCUGGACGUUCAUGGAGGACAUAUACAAUUGUUUCACUGUUCUCA
Molecule: long non-coding RNA, 1316 nt
Organism: Hippocampus zosterae (dwarf seahorse)
Lineage: Eukaryota; Metazoa; Chordata; Actinopteri; Syngnathiformes; Syngnathidae
Exons: 3
Source: RefSeq, a predicted model, not a curated record